This 292-nucleotide ribosomal RNA is filed under the name uncultured prokaryote. Its description in RNAcentral is "partial 16S ribosomal RNA". It matches the Rfam family "Bacterial small subunit ribosomal RNA", at positions 505 to 796 of the family's 1533-position model. The record is from RNAcentral.
GUGUCAGCCGCCGCGGUAAUACGUAGGUGGCAAGCGUUGUCCGGAAUUAUUGGGCGUAAAGGGCUCGCAGGCGGUUCCUUAAGUCUGAUGUGAAAGCCCACGGCUCAACCGUGGAGGGUCAUUGGAAACUGGGAGACUUGAGUGCAGAAGAGGAAAGUGGAAUUCCAUGUGUAGCGGUGAAAUGCGUAGAGAUAUGGAGGAACACCAGUGGCGAAGGCGACUUUCUGGUCUGUAACUGACACUGAGGCGCGAAAGCGUGGGGAGCAAACAGGAUUAGAAACCCCUGUAGUCC